AGUGGGGAAUAUUGGACAAUGGGCGAAAGCCUGAUCCAGCAAUGCCGCGUGAGUGAUGAAGGCCUUAGGGUUGUAAAGCUCUUUUACCCGGGAAGAUAAUGACUGUACCGGGAGAAUAAGCCCCGGCUAACUCCGUGCCAGCAGCCGCGGUAAUACGGAGGGGGCUAGCGUUGUUCGGAAUUACUGGGCGUAAAGCGCACGUAGGCGGCUUUGUAAGUUAGAGGUGAAAGCCUGGGGCUCAACUCCAGAACUGCCUUUAAGACUGCAUCGCUUGAACACGGGAGAGGUGAGUGGAAUUCCGAGUGUAGAGGUGAAAUUCGUAGAUAUUCGGAAGAACACCAGUGGCGAAGGCGGCUCACUGGACCGUUGUUGACGCUGAGGUGCGAAAGCGUGGGGAGCAAA
This 402-nucleotide ribosomal RNA is filed under the name uncultured Sphingomonas sp. Its description in RNAcentral is "bacterial SSU rRNA". It matches the Rfam family "Bacterial small subunit ribosomal RNA", at positions 353 to 772 of the family's 1533-position model. Lineage: Bacteria; Pseudomonadati; Pseudomonadota; Alphaproteobacteria; Sphingomonadales; Sphingomonadaceae. The record is from RNAcentral.